CAGCUGCAGAAGACAAUGACUAUGGGCCCUCAGGACAUCACUGGAUCCACAGUGGUGACUAUCUCUCUGCACUCUGAAUGCUUGCUUAAUUUCUACCCUCUUUUCUGAA
Strigops habroptila (Kakapo) is the source of this 109-nucleotide long non-coding RNA. RefSeq lists it as uncharacterized. The transcript has 3 exons. The record is from RefSeq and is a predicted model, not a curated record. Lineage: Eukaryota; Metazoa; Chordata; Aves; Psittaciformes; Psittacidae.